Molecule: ribosomal RNA, 454 nt
Filed under: uncultured bacterium
Lineage: Bacteria
Description: partial 16S ribosomal RNA
Rfam family: Bacterial small subunit ribosomal RNA
Source: RNAcentral
GAUGAACGCUGACAGAAUGCUUAACACAUGCAAGUCAACUUGAACUUCGGUUUGGGUGGCGGACGGGUGAGUAACGCGUAAAGAACUUGCCUCACAGAUAGGGACAACAUUUGGAAACGAAUGCUAAUACCUGAUAUUGUGAUUUUAGGGCAUCCUAGGAUUAUGAAAGCUAUAUGCGCUGUGAGAGAGCUUUGCGUCCCAUUAGCUAGUUGGAGAGGUAACGGCUCACCAAGGCGAUGAUGGGUAGCCGGCCUGAGAGGGUGAUCGGCCACAAGGGGACUGAGACACGGCCCUUACUCCUACGGGAGGCAGCAGUGGGGAAUAUUGGACAAUGGACCAAGAGUCUGAUCCAGCAAUUCUGUGUGCACGAUGAAGUUUUUCGGAAUGUAAAGUGCUUUCAGUUGGGAAGAAAAAAAUGACGGUACCAACAGAAGAAGUGACGGCUAAAUACGUG